Molecule: transfer RNA, 55 nt
Filed under: Chordodes sp. VVA-2019
Lineage: Eukaryota; Metazoa; Nematomorpha; Gordioida; Chordodea; Chordodidae
Description: tRNA-Ile
Source: RNAcentral
AAUACAUUUAAAAAUUUAUGAUAAAAAUUUUUUAUUACGUUUGUAAUCUGUAUUA